GAUGGAGCAACGCCGCGUGAGUGAAGAAGGCUUUCGGGUCGUAAAACUCUGUUGUUGGAGAAGAAUGGUCGGCAGAGUAACUGUUGUCGGCGUGACGGUAUCCAACCAGAAAGCCACGGCUAACUACGUGCCAGCAGCCGCGGUAAUACGUAGGUGGCAAGCGUUAUCCGGAUUUAUUGGGCGUAAAGCGAGCGCAGGCGGUUUUUUAAGUCUGAUGUGGAAGCCCUCGGCUUAACCGAGGAAGUGCAUCGGAAACUGGGAAACUUGAGUGCAGAAGAGGACAGUGGAACUCCAUGUGUAGCGGUGAAAUGCGUAGAUAUGCGGAAGAACACCAGUGGCGAAGGCGGCUGUCUGGUCUGUAACUGACGCUGAGGCUCGAAAGCAUGGGUAGCGAACAGGAUUAGAUACCCUGGUAGUCCAUGCCGUAAACGAUGAAUGCUAGGUGUUGGAGGGUUUCCGCCCUUCAGUGCCGCAGCUAACGCAUUAAGCAUUCCGCCUGGGGAGUACGACCGCAAGGUUGAAACUCAAAGGAAUUGACGGGGGCCCGCACAAGCGGUGGAGCAUGUGGUUUAAUUCGAAGCAACGCGAAGAACCUUACCAGGUCUUGACAUUCUUUUGAUCACCUGAGAGAUCAGGUUUCCC
Molecule: ribosomal RNA, 642 nt
Filed under: Lacticaseibacillus rhamnosus
Lineage: Bacteria; Bacillati; Bacillota; Bacilli; Lactobacillales; Lactobacillaceae
Description: bacterial SSU rRNA
Rfam family: Bacterial small subunit ribosomal RNA
Source: RNAcentral